AUGGUUGCAGAAUCAAAAGCGCCAUUGGCAACAUACUCGCAUAAGUUUGUUCCGCAGCGUUUGACCGCGGGUAAAAAGAUUGUUAUCAAGUUGAGUGCACCAAGCCCAAAAGACAAGUCCAAAGUGCUGAAGUUGGUGAGCAAAAUACAAGGUGUGGAUUCCAUGCGUAUAACCAGUGACGGCAAGGACUUGCUAGAGGUGAUUGGCGGCUUUGACCCGGUACAAGUGGUUUCUAGCCUGCGCAAGAAGGGCUUCCCCUCCGUCCAAAUCAUCAGUGUGGGGCCAGCGAAGGAUGCCGAACAGAAGUCGACACGGGGCACUGCACAAGGCAAGUCGAAGUCAGCCCCAGAAAAGACCAUCGAGUAUCCAAAGUAUUUAGGAACGGAGGGAGUAGAAUGGAAACUUCAUGCCAUAUCUCAGGUGGGCUUGGUGGUUUGCUAG
Molecule: ribosomal RNA, 441 nt
Filed under: Triticum aestivum (bread wheat)
Lineage: Eukaryota; Viridiplantae; Streptophyta; Magnoliopsida; Poales; Poaceae
Description: partial small subunit ribosomal RNA
Source: RNAcentral